CCCUUAGAUGUUCUGGGCCACACGCGUGCUACACUGAGUGGAUCAGCGGGUCAGGUUGCGCGAAAGCGUUUCCUAAUCUUUAAAUCCGCUCGUGAUGGGGAUUGACGGUUGCAAUUUUCUGUCAUGAACGAGGAAUACCUUGUAAGCGCGGGUCAUCAUCCCGCGCUGAAUACGUCCCUGCCCUUUGUACACACCGCCCGUCGCUCCUACCGAUUGAGUGGUCCGGUGAGGCUUUGGGAUCUGAGCGGAAAGAGCGUUUCGCUGUCUCUGCUCGGAAAACUCAGUCGAACCUUAUCAUUUAGAGGAAGGAGAAGUCGUAACA
This 322-nucleotide ribosomal RNA is filed under the name uncultured eukaryote. RNAcentral describes it as "partial 18S ribosomal RNA". It matches the Rfam family "Eukaryotic small subunit ribosomal RNA", at positions 1470 to 1796 of the family's 1831-position model. The record is from RNAcentral.